UACAUGGGGUGCAAACGUUGCUCGGAAUUAUUUGGCGUAAAGCGCACGUAGGUGGUUUGUUAUGUCGGAUGUGAAAGCCCUCGGCUCAACUGAGGAAGUGCAUCCGAAACUGGCAAGCUAGAGUAUGUAAGAGGGUCGCGGAAUUCCCGGUGUAGAGGUGAAAUUCGUAGAUAUCGGGAGGAACACCGGUGGCGAAGGCGGCGACCUGGGACAAUACUGACACUGAGGUGCGAAAGCGUGGGGAGCAAACAGG
Molecule: ribosomal RNA, 253 nt
Filed under: uncultured bacterium
Lineage: Bacteria
Description: partial 16S ribosomal RNA
Rfam family: Bacterial small subunit ribosomal RNA
Source: RNAcentral